Molecule: long non-coding RNA, 348 nt
Organism: Humulus lupulus (European hop)
Lineage: Eukaryota; Viridiplantae; Streptophyta; Magnoliopsida; Rosales; Cannabaceae
Exons: 2
Source: RefSeq, a predicted model, not a curated record
UGAGGGAAGAAAUGAAGAAAGAAAGAAAAAAGAAAGGGAGAAGGCGUGAGAAAGAAAGAGAGAAUGCCUAGGAGGUGGAUAUUUAGCUCAAGGGCUCAAGAUUUUUGUGAAAGAAGGCAAGAACUGAAUAUGUGAUGGCAUGGUGAGCGGGGACUGUUCCAAGAAGGUGCAUGUGCUUUGUGAGGAGACUGCAUGGACGACGACGAUCCUAAGAACACAAUAGUUUAUUAUUAGUCUUAUGAAAUACAUUUAUUUAUGUUGGGACAUAUUUUAUUUAAUUGCAUGUUUUGGCUUUAUCCUUUAUGAAACUCAGCUUCAGAGCAAUAAUAAAGACUACUUUCUUGUGCA